AGCACUUGCGUUUGCUUUUGUUUCAUUUGUGGGCAAAGACUUAGACAAGAACCCGAGGUAAGUCCUGUCUUGCGGCCCAGAACUCACUAUUCAGUCUGACUGUUGAUACGGAAAAGAAGGAACACG
Molecule: small nucleolar RNA, 126 nt
Organism: Zalophus californianus (California sea lion)
Lineage: Eukaryota; Metazoa; Chordata; Mammalia; Carnivora; Otariidae
Source: Ensembl